This 502-nucleotide ribosomal RNA is filed under the name uncultured bacterium. Its description in RNAcentral is "partial 16S ribosomal RNA". It matches the Rfam family "Bacterial small subunit ribosomal RNA", at positions 28 to 523 of the family's 1533-position model. The record is from RNAcentral.
GAUGAACGCUGGCGGCGUGCCUAAUACAUGCAAGUCGAACGAAUCUUCUUCGGAAGAUGAGUGGCGAACGGGUGAGUAAUACAUAGGUAACCUGCCCCUGUGCGGGGGAUAACAGGAGGAAACUCCUGCUAAUACCGCAUACCCAUGAGCACCGCAUGGAUCUCAUGCCAAAUAUCCUUUCGCGGAUAGCCCAGGGAUGGACCUAUGGCGCAUUAGCUGGUUGGCGGGGAAACGGCCCACCAAGGCAACGAUGCGUAGCCGGCCUGAGAGGGCGGACGGCCACAUUGGGACUGAGACACGGCCCAGACUCCUACGGGAGGCAGCAGUAGGGAAUUUUCGGCAAUGGGGGAAACCCUGACCGAGCAACGCCGCGUGAGCGAAGAAGGCCUUCGGGUCGUAAAGCUCUGAUGUAAAGGAAGAACGGCGCAUACAGGAAAUGGUAUGCGAGUGACGGUACUUUACCAGAAAGCCACGGCUAACUACGUGCCAGCCGCCGCCGUAA